AUUGAACGCUGGCGGCAGGCCUAACACAUGCAAGUCGAACGGUAACAGGAAACAGCUUGCUGUUUCGCUGACGAGUGGCGGACGGGUGAGUAAUGUCUGGGAAACUGCCUGAUGGAGGGGGAUAACUACUGGAAACGGUAGCUAAUACCGCAUAACGUCGCAAGACCAAAGAGGGGGACUUUCGGGCCUCUUGCCAUCAGAUGUGCCCAGAUGGGAUUAGCUAGUAGGUGGGGUAACGGCUCACCUAGGCGACGAUCCCUAGCUGGUCUGAGAGGAUGACCAGCCACACUGGAACUGAGCCACGGUCCAGACUCCUACGGGAGGCAGCAGUGGGGAAUAUUGCACAAUGGGCGCAAGCCUGAUGCAGCCAUGCCGCGUGUAUGAAGAAGGCCUUCGGGUUGUAAAGUACUUUCAGCGGGGAGGAAGGGAGUAAAGUUAAUACCUUUGCUCAUUGACGUUACCCGCAGAAGAAGCACCGGCUAACUCCGUG
Molecule: ribosomal RNA, 490 nt
Filed under: uncultured bacterium
Lineage: Bacteria
Description: partial 16S ribosomal RNA
Rfam family: Bacterial small subunit ribosomal RNA
Source: RNAcentral